UCUUGCGCGGCGUACUUCCCGAGGCGACGGGCCAGCAUCGAUUUCGAUCGCCGGAGAAAGGUGGGGGGAACGUGGCACCUUCGGGUGUGUUAUAGCCCCCCGUCGUAUGCGGCGGUYGGGAUCGAGGACCGCAGCGUGCCCUCACGGGCCGGGGUUCGCCCACGUAACGCGCUUAGGAUGCUGGCGUAAUGGCCUUAAACGACCCGUCUUGAAACACGGACCAAGGAGUCUAACAUGCCUGCGAGUGUUUGGGUGGAAAACCCGGACGCGCAACGAAAGUGAUAGGUCGGGACCUCUGUCGCGGAGGGCACCGACGCCCGGACCAGAGCUUCUGUGACGGAUCCGAGGUAGAGCAUGUAUGUUGGGACCCGAAAGAUGGUGAACUAUGCCUGAGUAGGGUGAAGCCAGAGGAAACUCUGGUGGAGGCUCGUAGCGAUUCUGACGUGCAAAUCGAUCGUCGAACUUGGGUAUAGGGGCGAAAG
This 482-nucleotide ribosomal RNA is filed under the name Phaeoclavulina nigricans. RNAcentral describes it as "Phaeoclavulina sp. PA-2020g partial large subunit ribosomal RNA". Lineage: Eukaryota; Fungi; Basidiomycota; Agaricomycetes; Gomphales; Gomphaceae. The record is from RNAcentral.